GACGAACGCUGGCGGCGUGCUUAACACAUGCAAGUCGAACGGAAAGGCCCUUCUUUUGUGGGGUGCUCGAGUGGCGAACGGGUGAGUAACACGUGAGUAACCUGCCCUUGACUUUGGGAUAACUUCAGGAAACUGGGGCUAAUACCGGAUAGGAGCUCCUGCUCCAUGGUGGGGGUUGGAAAGUUUCGGCGGUUGGGGAUGGACUCGCGGCUUAUCAGCUUGUUGGUGGGGUAGUGGCUUACCAAGGCUUUGACGGGUAGCCGGCCUGAGAGGGUGAACGGCGACAUUGGGACUGAGAGACGGAGCAGAGUCGUACGGGAGGCAGCAGGGGGGAGUAUUGCACAAUGGGGGGAAGCGUGAGGCAGAAACGCCGCGGGCGGGAUGACGGCCUUCGGGUUGUAAAACGCUGUCGCCUGUGACGAAGCGUGAGUGACGGUAAUGGGUAAAGAAGCACCGGCUAACUACGUG
RNAcentral lists this ribosomal RNA (468 nucleotides) under uncultured bacterium. Its description in RNAcentral is "partial 16S ribosomal RNA". It matches the Rfam family "Bacterial small subunit ribosomal RNA", at positions 28 to 507 of the family's 1533-position model. The record is from RNAcentral.